Molecule: ribosomal RNA, 197 nt
Filed under: uncultured bacterium
Lineage: Bacteria
Description: partial 16S ribosomal RNA
Rfam family: Bacterial small subunit ribosomal RNA
Source: RNAcentral
ACGCUCGACACCUACGGGGGGCAGCAGUGGGGAAUAUUGCACAAUGGGGGAAACCCUGAUGCAGCGACGCCGCGUGAAGGAAGAAGUAUCUCGGUAUGUAAACUUCUAUCAGCAGGGAAGAAAAUGACGGUACCUGACUAAGAAGCCCCGGCUAACUACGUGCCAGCAGCCGGGUAAUCUGAGCGGGCUGGCAAGGC